GCCCGAGUGGUGGUAUUGGUAGACACGUUGGACUUAAAAUCCAAUGAGCAUUGCGCUCGUGCGGGUUCAAGUCCCGCCUCGGGUA
RNAcentral lists this transfer RNA (85 nucleotides) under Chlorobiota bacterium. Its description in RNAcentral is "tRNA-Leu". It matches the Rfam family "tRNA". Rfam says of the family: Transfer RNA (tRNA) molecules are approximately 80 nucleotides in length. Their secondary structure includes four short double-helical elements and three loops (D, anti-codon, and T loops). Lineage: Bacteria; Pseudomonadati; Chlorobiota. The record is from RNAcentral.